GUAUUUCACUUUUUGCCUGAUAUUCACGUUUAAAAGUGAAAAGGAAGCUACUGCAGAGUGAACACUCAUCGCUAGGGAAACUCGAUCAAAUUUAAAUGAAUGAACGAAACUUAAAAUAUUGGGCAGAUAAAGUAGUCUUUAAGUCUAGUCACUAAUAAUAUGGAGCUACAGUACUGUCUGUAAAACAUCUGUGGAAUCAAACAAAUUGGGUAUAGAGAGAUCCUAUCAAAUACACAACAAUUUGAAUGUUAUGAGAAGAGCAUAAACAAUAUUAGCUUAAUAACUAAAAUAAGACCCCAUCAGCAACAUUUAAUAACGUUGGGUUAUUAGUCGAAACCACACAGUGAAUUGCCAUGAAGGCGCAUAAUAAUUCCAUAUGGCAAACGCGUAGACCAAUUUCAAAGAACUACUAGAUAUAACUAAAUUGCAUUAAAUUGCAAAUGCGAUGCUUUGUUGCCUGCCAACGCUGCAUAUGCGCACAUAGAGUCCCACAUAUCGGUAAUAGCUGGCACGACUUGCCGAACGUACCAUCGUCCGUUGGGGGGCAAAAUUGCAGCCAUUCUACGUAUCUCAUGUCACAAUCUAAGGUUCAAGAAACUUUGCCAGCCAGCAACUCUCCAAACAAUUGACUUCUAUGGAGACUUCUGCCAUACAGCUUGCCUGAGCAUCGAACGUUCCGAUGGAUGCUAGAAAAGCAACUCUAACUAAGGAGUGCAACAAACCAAACAACCCGGCAUUUGCUUCCUGCUAUGCAACAAAACGAUGACAGUGGAAGCUACAGCGGCAGCGACGGCACUGGAUAGAGGCAGCUAGUUGGAGUUUCAUGCAGCAUCCCCGGAGUAGCAGCGGCGACGGCAGCGAUGGCAAUCGAGCAAUUCGUAACGGACAAAACAACGACAAGUACAAGAAUAAAGUGAGCAACGAGCAGGAGUACAAAGGGGAGGAGGUGAGCGCAAAUGUGGUGUUGAAUGCAUCGCUAACACAAAUGUAAGCUGCUGGCACCGACGUGUUGCAUGUGUGUGUGCUGAAAAGAAUAAAAUAAAAUCAUAACGGGUGCCAGUAAGCAGGAAUGCUGCAGAGGAUGUCGCUGCUGUGUGCUGGCAGAGUCCACAGAGGGAGAUUAUAGAUGUACAGGAGAAGUCGGUGGAUAGGAUCAGAGGCAAGUCUUACACACUGACUUGCAUGAACUUGCAUUUAAAUGUCUUUGUGUGUGUGUUUGCGGAUAGAUAAAACGGCUGUAACAACAAACAAUUCUUAGAGCGUGAAAUGCACACCGUAAUUCUUUCCAGGGAGCUCACAAUAAACAGGCAGUCAAGGCAGGGCUUUUGGCACAUAGGUAUGUAUGUGCUACUACAAGCUACGGCAAAACUCAACGUCACAAUGUUGCAUGCCACAAGUCACAUAGGCGGUCCAAUAAACUAUUGAAUCUUUAAUAAAAUA
Non-coding RNA from Bactrocera oleae (olive fruit fly), 1440 nucleotides. The record is from RefSeq and is a predicted model, not a curated record. NCBI's taxonomy places the organism in Eukaryota, Metazoa, Arthropoda, Insecta, Diptera, Tephritidae.